AGUGAACGCUGGCGGUAGGCCUAACACAUGCAAGUCGAACGGCAGCACAGUAAGAGCUUGCUCUUACGGGUGGCGAGUGGCGGACGGGUGAGGAAUACAUCGGAAUCUACUUUUUCGUGGGGGAUAACGUAGGGAAACUUACGCUAAUACCGCAUACGACCUACGGGUGAAAGCAGGGGAUCUUCGGACCUUUCGCGAUUGAAUGAGCCGAUGUCGGAUUAGCUAGUUGGCGGGGUAAAGGCCCACCAAGGCGACGAUCCGUAGCUGGUCUGAGAGGAUGAUCAGCCACACUGGAACUGAGACACGGUCCAGACUCCUACGGGAGGCAGCAGUGGGGAAUAUUGGACAAUGGGCGAAAGCCUGAUCCAGCAAUACCGCGUGGGUGAAGAAGGCCUUCGGGUUGUAAAGCCCUUUUGUUGGGAAAGAAAAGCAGCAGGUUAAUACCCCGCUGUUCUGACGGUACCCAAAGAAUAAGCACCGGCUAACUUCGUG
Molecule: ribosomal RNA, 492 nt
Filed under: uncultured bacterium
Lineage: Bacteria
Description: partial 16S ribosomal RNA
Rfam family: Bacterial small subunit ribosomal RNA
Source: RNAcentral